Molecule: ribosomal RNA, 406 nt
Filed under: uncultured bacterium
Lineage: Bacteria
Description: partial 16S ribosomal RNA
Rfam family: Bacterial small subunit ribosomal RNA
Source: RNAcentral
AUUGAACGCUGGCGGCAGGCCUAACACAUGCAAGUCGAACGAGUGGCGGACGGGUGAGUAAUGUCUGGUAAUCUGCCUGAUGGAGGGGGAUAACUACUGGAAACGGUAUCUAAUACCGCAUACCAUCAGAUGUGCCCAUAUGGGAUUAGCUAGUUUGUGGGGUAAAGGCUCACCUAGGCGACGAUCCCUAGCUGGUCUGAGAGGAUGACCAGCCACACUGGAACUGAGACACGGGCCAGACUCCUACGGGAGGCAGAAGUGGGGAAUAGUGCACAAUGGGCGCAAGCCUGAUGCAGCCAUGCCGCGUGUAUGAAGAAGGCCUGCGGGUUGUAAAGUACUUUCAGCGGGGAGGCGUUAACCGCAGAAGAAGCACCGGCUAAAUCCGUGCCAGCAGCCGCGGUAAUAC